RNAcentral lists this small RNA (482 nucleotides) under Mus musculus (house mouse). RNAcentral describes it as "partial mRNA-like noncoding RNA". Lineage: Eukaryota; Metazoa; Chordata; Mammalia; Rodentia; Muridae. The record is from RNAcentral.
GAGGCGCUUGGGAGGACUCCCCCAGUUCUGUUAAGAGCUGGGCACAAAGAGCCCUUUGCACUCCAGCCGCAGGAGCGAGGAGGAGCCGAGCUAGAUGCACAUGGGCGUGGGGACUCCGGUACAACACCAACCCACAAGGUUAGCAGACCUUACCAUUCCUCCACUUAUGGGCCUUAUCCCAGACCUGGGGCGUCCAGCGCAGCCUCAAACCCAGGGCAUCUCUGCACUCUCAUCGCGACGUCGCUCUGGAUGCUGUUUGCAUAUCCUUGGGGAGUCACUGCUUUGGCACAACAGUCCUGCGAGGUGCUGGAAUUCCGUCUGUUCUCAUCACACGGACAUGGCUGAUCUGUCUCAGUGGUACCUGGGGGCAAAGCAGGGAGCCGGGCGGUGGAGGCCAACAUUGUUACCAAGUUGGCUCUGUCUCAACACAGGGACUGAGCCUUCUGAGCCUCAAGAGUUCCUGCUGGUUCCCAGGUGGUGGA